GUAGGGGAGAUUGGAAUUCCUGGUGUAGCGGUGGAAUGCGCAGAUAUCAGGAGGAACACCGAUGGCGAAGGCAGAUCUCUGGGCNGUAACUGACGCUGAGGAGCGAAAGGGUGGGGAGCAAACAGGCUUAGAUACCCUGGUAGUCCACCCCGUAAACGUUGGGAACUAGUUGUGGGGUCCUUUCCACGGAUUCCGUGACGCAGCUAACGCAUUAAGUUCCCCGCCUGGGGAGUACGGCCGCAAGGCUAAAACUCAAAGGAAUUGACGGA
This 269-nucleotide ribosomal RNA is filed under the name uncultured bacterium. Its description in RNAcentral is "partial 16S ribosomal RNA". It matches the Rfam family "Bacterial small subunit ribosomal RNA", at positions 651 to 917 of the family's 1533-position model. The record is from RNAcentral.